This 2908-nucleotide ribosomal RNA is filed under the name Campylobacter coli. Its description in RNAcentral is "23S ribosomal RNA". It matches the Rfam family "Bacterial large subunit ribosomal RNA". Lineage: Bacteria; Pseudomonadati; Campylobacterota; Epsilonproteobacteria; Campylobacterales; Campylobacteraceae. The record is from RNAcentral.
AGGUAAGCUACUAAGAGCGAAUGGUGGAUGCCUUGACUGGUAAAGGCGAUGAAGGACGUACUAGACUGCGAUAAGCUACGGGGAGCUGUCAAGAAGCUUUGAUCCGUAGAUUUCCGAAUGGGGCAACCCAAUGUAUAGAGAUAUACAUUACCUAUAUAGGAGCGAACGAGGGGAAUUGAAACAUCUUAGUACCCUCAGGAAAAGAAAUCAAUAGAGAUUGCGUCAGUAGCGGCGAGCGAAAGCGCAAGAGGGCAAACCCAGUGCUUGCACUGGGGGUUGUAGGACUGCAAUGUGCAAGAGGUGAGUUUAGCAGAACAUUCUGGAAAGUAUAGCCAUAGAGGGUGAUAGUCCCGUAUGCGAAAAACAAACCUUAGCUAGCAGUAUCCUGAGUAGGGCGGGACACGAGAAAUCCUGUCUGAAGCUGGGUCGACCACGAUCCAACCCUAAAUACUAAUACCAGAUCGAUAGUGCACAAGUACCGUGAGGGAAAGGUGAAAAGAACUGAGGUGAUCAGAGUGAAAUAGAACCUGAAACCAUUUGCUUACAAUCAUUCAGAGCCCUAUGUAGCAAUACAGGGUGAUGGACUGCCUUUUGCAUAAUGAGCCUGCGAGUUGUGGUGUCUGGCAAGGUUAAGCAAACGCGAAGCCGUAGCGAAAGCGAGUCUGAAUAGGGCGCUUAGUCAGAUGCUGCAGACCCGAAACGAAGUGAUCUAUCCAUGAGCAAGUUGAAGCUAGUGUAAGAACUAGUGGAGGACUGAACCCAUAGGCGUUGAAAAGCCCCGGGAUGACUUGUGGAUAGGGGUGAAAGGCCAAUCAAACUUCGUGAUAGCUGGUUCUCUCCGAAAUAUAUUUAGGUAUAGCGUUGUGUCGUAAUAUAAGGGGGUAGAGCACUGAAUGGGCUAGGGCAUACACCAAUGUACCAAACCCUAUCAAACUCCGAAUACCUUAUAUGUAAUCACAGCAGUCAGGCGGCGAGUGAUAAAAUCCGUCGUCAAGAGGGAAACAACCCAGACUACCAGCUAAGGUCCCUAAAUCUUACUUAAGUGGAAAACGAUGUGAAGUUACUUAAACAACCAGGAGGUUGGCUUAGAAGCAGCCAUCCUUUAAAGAAAGCGUAAUAGCUCACUGGUCUAGUGAUUUUGCGCGGAAAAUAUAACGGGGCUAAAGUAAGUACCGAAGCUGUAGACUUGAUUUUAUCAAGUGGUAGGAGAGCGUUCUAUUUGCGCCGAAGGUAUACCGGUAAGGAGUGCUGGAGCGAAUAGAAGUGAGCAUGCAGGCAUGAGUAGCGAUAAUUAAUGUGAGAAUCAUUAACGCCGUAAACCCAAGGUUUCCUACGCGAUGCUCGUCAUCGUAGGGUUAGUCGGGUCCUAAGUCGAGUCCGAAAGGGGUAGACGAUGGCAAAUUGGUUAAUAUUCCAAUACCAACAUUAGUGUGCGAUGGAAGGACGCUUAGGGCUAAGGGGGCUAGCGGAUGGAAGUGCUAGUCUAAGGUCGUAGGAGGUUAUACAGGCAAAUCCGUAUAACAAUACUCCGAGAACUGAAAGGCUUUUUGAAGUCUUCGGAUGGAUAGAAGAACCCCUGAUGCCGUCGAGCCAAGAAAAGUUUCUAAGUUUAGCUAAUGUUGCCCGUACCGUAAACCGACACAGGUGGGUGGGAUGAGUAUUCUAAGGCGCGUGGAAGAACUCUCUUUAAGGAACUCUGCAAAAUAGCACCGUAUCUUCGGUAUAAGGUGUGGUUCGCUUCGUAUUAGGAUUUACUCCGAAAGCGAAGAAACUUACAACAAAGAGUCCCUCCCGACUGUUUACCAAAAACACAGCACUCUGCUAACUCGUAAGAGGAUGUAUAGGGUGUGACGCCUGCCCGGUGCUCGAAGGUUAAUUGAUGGGGUUAGCAUUAGCGAAGCUCUUGAUCGAAGCCCGAGUAAACGGCGGCCGUAACUAUAACGGUCCUAAGGUAGCGAAAUUCCUUGUCGGUUAAAUACCGACCUGCAUGAAUGGCGUAACGAGAUGGGAGCUGUCUCAAAGAGGGAUCCAGUGAAAUUGUAGUGGAGGUGAAAAUUCCUCCUACCCGCGGCAAGACGGAAAGACCCCGUGGACCUUUACUACAGCUUGACACUGCUAUUUGGAUAAGAAUGUGCAGGAUAGGUGGGAGGCUUUGAGUAUAUGACGCCAGUUGUAUAUGAGCCAUUGUUGAGAUACCACUCUUUCUUAUUUGGGUAGCUAACCAGCUUGAGUUAUCCUCAAGUGGGACAAUGUCUGGUGGGUAGUUUGACUGGGGCGGUCGCCUCCCAAAUAAUAACGGAGGCUUACAAAGGUUGGCUCAGAACGGUUGGAAAUCGUUCGUAGAGUAUAAAGGUAUAAGCCAGCUUAACUGCAAGACAUACAAGUCAAGCAGAGACGAAAGUCGGUCUUAGUGAUCCGGUGGUUCUGUGUGGAAGGGCCAUCGCUCAAAGGAUAAAAGGUACCCCGGGGAUAACAGGCUGAUCUCCCCCAAGAGCUCACAUCGACGGGGAGGUUUGGCACCUCGAUGUCGGCUCAUCGCAUCCUGGGGCUGGAGCAGGUCCCAAGGGUAUGGCUGUUCGCCAUUUAAAGCGGUACGCGAGCUGGGUUCAGAACGUCGUGAGACAGUUCGGUCCCUAUCUGCCGUGGGCGUAAGAAGAUUGAAGAGAUUUGACCCUAGUACGAGAGGACCGGGUUGAACAAACCACUGGUGUAGCUGUUGUUCUGCCAAGAGCAUCGCAGCGUAGCUAAGUUUGGAAAGGAUAAACGCUGAAAGCAUCUAAGCGUGAAGCCAACUCUAAGAUGAAUCUUCUCUAAGCUCUCUAGAAGACUACUAGUUUGAUAGGCUGGGUGUGUAAUGGAUGAAAGUCCUUUAGCUGACCAGUACUAAUAGAGCGUUUGGCUUAUCUUU